UUUGGUCAUAUCAAUAAGCGGAGGAAAAGAAACCAACAGGGAUUGCCCCAGUAAUGGCGAAUGAAGCGGCAAGAGCCCAAAUUUGAAAUCGGGCAACCGAGUUGUAAUUUGGAGACGGGACACUAGAGAGGAGGAAGGCGAUUAAGUGCCUUGGAACAGGCUGCCGUAGAGGGUGAGAGCCCCGUGAAUCGCUGGAGACCGAUCAAUUAGUGCCCGCCGAAGAGUCGAGUUGUUUGGGAAUAAAGA
Molecule: ribosomal RNA, 246 nt
Filed under: Brettanomyces bruxellensis
Lineage: Eukaryota; Fungi; Ascomycota; Pichiomycetes; Pichiales; Pichiaceae
Description: partial large subunit ribosomal RNA
Rfam family: Eukaryotic large subunit ribosomal RNA
Source: RNAcentral